Molecule: ribosomal RNA, 484 nt
Filed under: uncultured bacterium
Lineage: Bacteria
Description: partial 16S ribosomal RNA
Rfam family: Bacterial small subunit ribosomal RNA
Source: RNAcentral
GACGAACGCUGGCGGCGUGCUUAACACAUGCAAGUCGAACGAUGAAGCCGGAGCUUGCUCUGGUGAAUUAGUGGCGAACGGGUGAGUAACACGUGAGUAACCUGCCCUUGACUCUGGGAUAACUGCGGGAAACUGUAGCUAAUACCGGAUACGACCCUCGGAGGCAUCUCCUGGGGGUGGAAAGAAUUUCGGUCAAGGAUGGACUCACGGCCUAUCAGCUAGUUGGUGAGGUAAAGGCUCACCAAGGCGACGACGGGUAGCCGGCCUGAGAGGGUGACCGGCCACACUGGGACUGAGACACGGCCCAGACUCCUACGGGAGGCAGCAGUGGGGAAUAUUGCACAAUGGGCGCAAGCCUGAUGCAGCAACACCGCGUGAGGGAUGACGGCCUUCGGGUUGUAAACCUCUUUUAGCAGGGAAGAAGCGAAAGUGACGGUACCUGCAGAAAAAGCACCGGCUAACUACGUGCCAGCCGCCGCUGUAA